AAAGAAUUAGUUAAAUUAUAACAUAAAUAUGUCAAAUUUAAAUUAUUAUUAUACCAAAUAAUAUUCUUUU
RNAcentral lists this transfer RNA (70 nucleotides) under Halpe nephele. RNAcentral describes it as "tRNA-Asp". The record is from RNAcentral. Lineage: Eukaryota; Metazoa; Arthropoda; Insecta; Lepidoptera; Hesperiidae.